RNAcentral lists this ribosomal RNA (1386 nucleotides) under Triticum aestivum (bread wheat). RNAcentral describes it as "partial small subunit ribosomal RNA". The record is from RNAcentral. Lineage: Eukaryota; Viridiplantae; Streptophyta; Magnoliopsida; Poales; Poaceae.
AUGAUUCCGCAACAAAAAAAACUUCCUAGAUUAAUGGGCUGGAAUGGGCUGGCCGAGGGCUUCGUUUCGGCCUCUGUAGCAGCAGCCCAUAGGACACCUGGGCCAUUAUUUGAUAGAUGUGCGGGAACCCUAGUAGCCGCCGCCCGCCGCCACCCGCUGUGCCUAUCCCCAUGGCCGCUUCCCCUCCUCCGACGAAAGUGGUCGCCGGCGCUGAAGACGGGAACUCCUCCUCCGCCAUCCCCAAGAUCCAGCCGACGGAGGCCAAAGUCGGCGAAGAGAAGGCCGCCGCCAUGGAAGCAACGUCAUGGUUUGGCCGGUUUGGGCAGCUCUACUUGGCCCUCUCGUCAUCCGCGCCUCGCCGGUCAAGACAGAAACCGAGAGGGGGAAGGCCACCGGUGCAGCGACGGGAACUCCUCCGCCGCCAGUCCCAAGACCCACCCGCCGCACGCCGGAAGUGCCUGUGUGAAGACAUCCUGGCCAGGCCGCUUUGGCCAGUACUACUACCCCGUCCUCCUUGCACUGCUCAUCCGCAUCUUACCGAGUAAAAAAGACCGGAGGGAGUACUGGCUUGAGACCUUCUGGAAGCUCAGCCCCAUCCGCCGUGCAUUUAUCAUACGCGCCUUCAUGGCCAUGGGUUUCAUGCUGAUCCUGGCCUUGGCCGUUCCUGCCCUGUUACUGGUGCACUUCCACGGGCAGGAGAUGGCCCAGGUGUGGGUCAUGUCGCUCACUCUGUGUUCAUACGCCUUCCAUGCCUCCCUCUUCAUCUGGAAGGAUUGGUGGUUCUACACAGACUUCGCGCGUCUCUCUUACGGCCCCCUGCUGGCCUACUUCGCUGCCACUGCCAUCGGCCCUUGCACCGCCAUCUUCAUCCUGCAUUGGAGCACGGUUUGGGCCGCUGGAUACCUGGGCUGCUGCAUCGCUUUGCACCGCCUGCACAAGGGGACCGAGCGGGGCAUUCACGAGUUGCCUAGGCGGUCGUGCCAUAGCAAGUACACACCCAAAGAACUCACCUUCUUGGUCUGUAUCAGAGUGCUCAUUCUCUCGGUGGGUUGGACUAUGUUCAUGGCGUUGCCGAUCUACGGAUUUGAGCUGACUGAACAGCUGUCUAUUGUCGUACUCCUCUCCUCCAUUGGCUGGAUGUAUGUCACCCUCUGGUUAUACCAUGUCGCUAACUAUCUCAUGCACGGAGUUCUCCUUAAGGGGCCAAUGAAUUCACUUCCAUAUCUGAUCCCAUGUGCCGUGUUCACUCCUACACUCUUGCUUCUGCCUGUUAUGUUAUCGGUAUUGUUACAUUGGCUGUUGCUGAUGGCCGUGGUUGGCUUCCUUGGGUACCAUCUUGCUGUUUACAUAUGCUACUUGCACACUGCCGCACCAUGGUAUGUGUGA